Molecule: ribosomal RNA, 406 nt
Filed under: uncultured bacterium
Lineage: Bacteria
Description: bacterial SSU rRNA
Rfam family: Bacterial small subunit ribosomal RNA
Source: RNAcentral
UAGCCUUGACAUACUACAGAAUUUGACAGAGAUGUUGAAGUGCCUUCGGGAGCUGUAAUACAGGUGCUGCACGGCUGUCGUCAGCUCGUGUCGUGAGAUGUUGGGUUAAGUCCCGCAACGAGCGCAACCCUCGUCCUUAGUUACUAACGGUUUGGCCGAGGACUCUAAGGAGACUGCCUUCGUAAGGAGGAGGAAGGUGAGGACGACGUCAAGUCAUCAUGGCCCUUACGGCUAGGGCAACACACGUGCUACAAUGGUUAGGACAAUGAGAAGCGAUACCGCGAGGUGGAGCAAAUCUAUAAACCUAAUCUCAGUUCGGAUAGCAGUCUGCAACUCGACUGCUUGAAGCUGGAAUCACUAGUAAUCGUAAAUCAGCUAUGUUACGGUGAAUACGUUCCGCGGGUCU